UACACUCUCAGUGACAGUGGUGGUGAUGGUGGUGGUCUCCACAACAGUAGUGUGAGUAAUUAGCUCCUCUCCCACAUUUGAAGAAUCAACAACAGCAGGCAACACCGUAGGUUCAACAUCUUGAUCCAUGGCCGAUGCACUAUUGUCAUACUUACUGCUGUCAUCAACCACACCCUCCAGAACCUUUUCUGCCUUUUCCCUUUCAAUCGGUUCAACUGAACCAACAUUCUCCUCAACAGCUUCAAAUUUUUCCUCAUUCCCCCUUUCAUCAACAGCUACAGCAUCCUCAGAAACAAUCUCAGAAUCUUUGAGUUCGGCUUCAUUAUCAUGACCCUCCAAACCAUUCACCUCCUUCUCGGAAGCCUCAGCAGCAUCCCUUUCAGCACGAAGGGCGUCAUCCAAACGUCUGACUAAAUCAUUCUUCAAACCAGUGGUAGUUAGCCUCCUCCUCUUCAGCUCCUCUUUCAACUCUGUAACCUUCCACUGAUGAAUCGGCUUCGACGACAUUAUAUCCAAAUUCAAGAUCACAAAUCACUUUCCUUCACCUGCACUGACAAUUAAAUUUGAUACAAUAAAAAAAUUAUAAAGAAAACACCAACUAUCAAUUCAACCAAAGACAGGGUUUAUCCUAAAAUCACUAACCAAUUAUUUGAUAAAAAUACAACCUUUCCUUAAAGAAUGAUACAAAAUAGAACAAUGAAAAAAAAACAAAAAUAACCACUUAGAAAUGCAUUUUCUAAGCAAAUAACAAGUAGUAAAAGCGUAACGAAAAUUUAAAAAAUAAACAAAAUACAAAAAGAUAUUCAAUUUAUGAAUAGAAAAAGACAAUACCGCAAAGGGUUAUAGCAAUUACUUACUCAGAAUGACGAUUUGAUGAUAAUGAAGAAAAUAGGGUUAGCGUUGUUGCGAUUUUGGAAACCCUAAUUUCAGAACAAAAGCGAGAACUAGAGAAGAAGAAGAAGAAGAAACAGAGGUAUCGAAAUUGAAGAUUGUUCAAUGAACCGAAACGAAUGCACUCUUUCUAUUGAAUCUUUCGUACUCGUUUCAUUUCGUUAUUUUCCUGAAAACAACGAAAGAGAAUGUAUAAAACAAAAAGAAAAUGGAGAGAAAGAAAUGCAAGAGAAAUUAAAUUUCAGUAAUGAAAAAAUUGUUUCAGAAUUUUGAAGAAAUAAAAAGGGUUAAGAUUUGUUUGGAUGUGAAAUUUGGGAAUUUGGGAAGAGAGAAACUGUUUUCAUGAUUCAUCUAUCUAACUUGUUGUUUCUUCUUUUUGUUUAUUUUUCUCUCUUAUUUUUACUUUUUUAGUCCUUUUUCUUUUAUUUGUUUGUGAAGUAGUGGUAUAUAUAUAUAUAUAUAUAUAUAUAUAUUCAAUAUCUAUAAGCAUUUCACAUUCUUAAAACUAGCGUGUCGACGGACACUUCGUACCUGCCAAUUUACAUUUUUAUUUCAUAAUAUUAAAUAUUUAAGAGAAUCGUAUUAUAUUUUUUAUGAUAAAAAAAUAUGAAAAUAAAUUGAAAUUCUUUUAAAAAAAACUACAUUAACAAUAUGAUAUUUAUAGAUAUGUAACUUUCUCUAACUCCUAUUAAUAUUUUUUUAAUAUGUAUAAAACCAUUGUAAUAAUAUUUAAUUAGAAAGGUAAAAUAGGCAACAAGAAGUUACACCAUAUUAAGUAGUUAUAAGAUAUUUUAGCUUUAUAUAUAGUGUAGAUAUAAAAAUGAGAUAAAAUAAUAACUGAUUUAACAUUAAAAACCCACACUUGUAAUAGGCAGAAUCUUUUCAUUAACAGCACAUAUAAUAAAAUAGUGUAAUAUAUAUUUAGUAUAAAGAUUUAUACAUAAUCAUUAUAUUAUUUAUUAAUUAUUUGUAUUAUUUAUAUAUAAGUCAAUAAUUAUCAAAUAUAAAUAAUGGAUAAUACAUAGAAAAUUCUUACAUUAUUAAUAUAUACAUUUUUUAUCUUAAAAAACUAUAAGAUAUAAAAUAAUAUGAGUAUCCAACUUUAAAUAGACCUAUAAAAUCGGACAUGGCCAAAAUCUACAUAACUAAUAAUAGAUCCCUAAGAAGACGAUUUUAAAUAAGAGUGAUAAAGGGGUGGAUUUAGAUGUUAAUGGAUAGACAUAAAGUCAUUCAUUAAUUCAUAUAAAUUAAUUUAAUUAUAUUUUAAUCCAUAUGAUUCAUCCAUAACUCCAUUUCAUGAAUUUAGAUAGAUGGAUAUCCAAACCAUUUGAUUUUUUUAAGUGAACUAAAAAAUAUAUUGGAGAUAGUUAUUACUUUAAAAACUACUAUUUCAACUAAACAUUUUUAAUAUCACCCAUUAAGAAAAACUUAUAAAACACUUUAGAAAUAAUUUUUUUGAAAAGUCGUUUUUUAAACUUUUAUAAAGAAAUUUUGUAUUCAAUAUUCUACGAACAUGUGACGUUUAAGAUUACUUGUAAAGUGUUUAAUAAAUACUUAUAGAGUGUAAUAUUUAUUAAUAAUGUAAAAGUUUAUGAGUAGAGAUCCACUUACUCCAAUAAUAAGUUUUUAAACUUAUUCCCCACCAUAAUCAUCAAUUUUAUGGAUAUCGAAUGGUUUAGAUCUACUCACUAAUUAAAAUCAUUUAAUCUCACUAGAAUUGAUGAAUAAGAUGAAAGAGUAUUAAGUAGAUCUCUCCUCACAAUUUAUAUAUAAUCACUACAUCAUACAUCAUUAAUUUGAAUUACUUUUUUUAAUAGUCACGUAUGAUUAAAUAUAAAUAAUGAAUGAUGCAGUAACAAUGUAUAAAACUCAUAAAUUAGUCAAUGCAUACAUUUUUCUCAUACUUAUAUAUGUCAUGUAAUUAACAAUAAAAUUUUAAUAUUAAUUAUAUACACAUGUCCUAUAAUUGAUUCAGUUUAAUAAAAUAUUAAAAGUGAGACUGAAAUCAUACAUAUAUUUACUUGAAUUUAGUUUUUUUAAAUAUUGAAUGAAAUUGAAAAGGCAAAGAAAAUCAUUUUUGUUUUUUGAUGGAUUGGAUAUCCAUUCAAAUAGAUAUACACAUGAAUAUCCAUUAGAUAUAAUUGAUGGAUUUGAAUGCAUCCAUUAUCAACAUUAUUCAUUGAAUUAUAUUCAUUUAAAUCAUUAGCUCUAACUGAUGAAUUUAAUUUGGAUGGAUUAUAGAUUGUGUAUAAUUUUGUCACCUCUAAUUUUUAAACUUCAGCACCACAUACAUAAUUAACACUAGCGUAUCGACAGACACUUCGUAUCUACUUAUUCACAUUCUUAUUUAAUGGUAUUAGGUAUUUUUAUUAAAUAUUUAACUUGUAUUAUCAUUCUACCACUAUAGUAUAAUUUAUAUAUUACCUUAAUAUUCUUUAAUUUAUACCAAAAAAAAAAUAUAAUCACCCAAAUAUAAUAAUUGAAAAUUGAAAUCACUUCUUUCAUUUUAAAUUAGAAAUUCUAAUAAGGACAAAAAAUUAUAAUAUAAAAUACAUCUACUACAAAAAAAAUUAUAAUCCUCCAAAAUUAAAUAUAUGAAAAAUUACUUAAUAGCAUAAAUUAAGAAUGUAAACAAAUAGGGAGGAAGUACCUCUCACAUGCUAGAACACUUGUGUUGACUAGGGUUGACCCACAUUCUUAUUUUUAGAGAAUUGUAAUUUUUUUGUAUAUUUAUUAUAAUAUAAGGUAAGAUAUAUGGCUAUUAUAUUAAUGUUAGUUACCUAAAUUAUAUAAUUUAUUUAUAGAUACUACAAAACAUUAUGGACAAAAUUAGUCUAUAAUGAUAAUCUGACCAUAUUUUUAUAGAAAACCACACUCUUUAUAAUCAAAAUUUUCCUGUCCAUGUUUAAUUAUAUGGUAUUUAGAUAAAUAAUUUCUAGUGGAGGCAAAGGGUAUAAAUUAUAUAGUCCAGCUAGCCCAAUGCUAAAUUAAGCUCGUACAAAAACAAACCUUAUAAAUUUGACAUUAAUAAUUUGUGAAUAACUUCAAUUUUUAUAUAUAUAUUAUAAGACUCUUUUUCAUGUUCUCUUUUAGCAUAUAAUAAAAGUUUAGAUGUGAUAAAAGAAAAUAUUACUCAUUUUUAAAGGAUAUGCAUGAAUACCAACACGGUAUUGGUGUAAUGACGUACAGUCUCAUGAGAUCUUCAGAUAAGACAAAAUGUCAAAUAUUCGACUAUUGUGAGUAACAAAAAAAGGAGAUAUACAUGAACUCAAUUUAGCUCAACUUAAUUGCAUGUAAGUUUUUUUGUACUACCAAAGAGUAUCCCUCACCCUUUUAGAUACGAAACUAAUCUCUUUCGAAGUGCGUGAUAAUCCCUCCCAAUUCUCGAAAUUAUCCAGCCAUCACCAUUAAAAUCUUAACUAUUCCCAGGAGGACUUUUAUGAAUGGUCAUGUCUAUGAAACUUGUAGAUGAUCAUCAAAUUGGAACUACAAGUCUACAAACCAAACCACCAACAAAAUGAUUGAUGAGUAAGAUAGUUCAUCUUUCAUCUGUUACUGCUGCAUUAUUUAGAUCCUACACUAUUUGCAACAAAAGCAUACAUUUUUUUAGAUCCUACCCUCUUUGCAACAAAGCAUUUUCAUUGGGGAUUGCACACAACAGCACAAAACAUUUGCACAUAAACUAGAUUUUCUUACUAUUUUUUGGUACAUAGAAUUACUAUCGGAUUCCACAACUGCAUUAGCAUUAGUCUACCACUCUUUUAAUUUUUUAACCUACACAAAUCAGCCAUAAUUUAUAUGGGUUCAUUAGACUUAAUACUCUUGCUACACAUCAAAUGAUUCGUGGGGAUUAAAGAAAACAGUAUCCUAAACCAACAGGUUAAUACAAACAUAAUUAGCAUUCUUCUGAAGAAAACACUAUAUUGAUGAGAAAGCUAGGUGACAUGAGAGCAAAGAUACCACAAAUCAGUUUCAUGGCAUGAGAAAAACAAGAUUUAAUGCAUGGCAUCCAAGUUAAAGAUGUUUGGACAAAUGUUCACUAUAACAACAGGAGCAAUAAAUCCACUUAAAACAACUCUUAGUUUUAGAACGCUCCAAAACUAAAGAAAAUUCAGUCUCAAGAUGCAUAAAUGGCAUUUUUUUCGGAGGCAAACACUAGCAGACGAUGCUAAUCUGAACUGAAAAUACUUCCAUAACACUAUUAAUACUUCCAUAUUACUAACUAGCAAGAUGGUCAAGAACAAGAAAUCAGCAAAAGCUGCCCGGGAAUAAUAGUAGGCUAUAAUCGCCUACUGCCUGGAGCUUUUACCUUGUGCUGCAAGUUUUGCAGCAACUUCCUCUUCAGACAAAGGUAGAUAGUAGAUCCGAGGAGUUGCUUUGGUUUUGCGGAAGAGAUCAUCCAGAGUGACUGUAGGCAGGUCAGCUUUCUCAGGAAGGGGCGGUGGGGAUGGAAGUCGUUCUAUUCCUACUGGUGGCGGCUUUGACAAUGGUGGGGGAGGUGGGAGAGUAGGUGGAGGUGGAGGCAGCUCCCUGUGCUGACGGGGGGAAGGCUCUGGCUGUGAAGGUGGUGCGGGAGGAACAGCUGGACCACUACUGAUGGACGGAGCCUGACUAGGAGGAGGUUCUAACUUCAUCUUCACUUCUUCAGGCUCAACAUACUCAGCAAGUAAGAAGCGCCCGCCAUUUGGAGGCCAUUGCAGAUUAUACACAGCAUUCCGUGUCUCAAUGGCUUCUUCGGUGGAUGAGUACUACAUCACCACGAAAUCAACAAAGGUUACUGAGUUACUCGGAACGAUAUGCCAAAGUCGAAACGCAAUAACAUUACAUGAGAAUCAAGUCUUACAGUAACAUAGCAGUGGGUCUUUAUUUGGUCCAUCCAGAAACUGCUAACAUUCCCAGUCUUACCAAGAAGCUCUUGCACUGCCUUUAGGGUAAAAGGACGGAGGAAACGGUCAAUCCUGAGGGAAUUAGUUGGGGACCUUUGUGAUGGUGGAACUGCCAGAGAUAAAAAAACACUAUUUAGACUUCAAGGGCAGAGAAGCAGAGGACACGGCACAAACACAUGCUGGUAUGACAUCAAAGUAAAUCCAUUAAAACAGGACAUUACAACAAGGACUGAAAUGCAACUAUAAAUCCACACAAUAAUAACAAACAACCAAGCCUCAUAUCAAUAAACAUAUUCAUACAAGUAUGAAAAAUAACAUAUAAGUGAUUAUCUAUCUUUAAAUAAAAAACUUUAGAAUUGUGUAUAAGAUGUGUACUUAAUGUGCUUUGGAGAAGUGUACAACAACAACAACCAAGCCCUAAUAUCCCAGUAAUGGGGUCAGCUACAUGCAUUGAAUCAUUGAAUGACAGAAUUAUGCUCUAUCAUAUAUCUUUGGAGAACGGUCCGGAACUAAAUUUCAACGUCCCGGGAAAUUAAUUUACUUUUUGAGCAAAAAACCAGGAAAUGAAAAUUCAUAUACACCAACACCAUACCAGAAAUAAGUCUACAGGAUCUUCAUAACUUCACCCAGAUCAGAAAAAUGUAAACUUACCAAUGCGUUCUUUAGGUGCAUCGUCAGUUGCAAAGGAAUCAGACCUGGAGAAGUUGCGUUUAAGAGAAACUGGUCCAUCCUUGGGUGUAGUAGUGGAUCUGGGAGUAGUGCCUUGUGGAUUUGGUCCUUUAACUGUAUCAGUAUUCCACCUACGUUGCCUUUUUGCAGGAUCAUUGUUGCAAUCUAAUGUUUGUUCUGUGACACAAUGUUCAAAAUAAGGAUUGUUUAUACACAGAACUGGUACUAACAACAACAUACCAGGAAAGCAACAUAUAUUGCACAUAUAAUUUCUUGCUUGUGCUUAGCAUACAACCAGGAAAUAAAAGGAAGUUUAUUUUUUAGGAUGAAGGUAAAAUAUAAUGCUCACCAUUGAAUUUUCGUUUCUCGACCAGGCCAACUGGACUAAAGUCAAUAUCUUGGUGGGAAUCACUUUUUCCUCCAGAUUGACCAUCUCCCACAACAACAGUAGUGUUUUCCACCUUCACAGUAGGCACUUUAGUACUCUCCACUUUGUCUCUAAGUUCAUCAAAAUUAACCUUAGAGCUCUCGGGCAAAUCCUCCUCCAUGGAAUCAUCACCAGAACUUCUAUCUAAGCUUAACUUCUCUGGAUACCCCACAUCAUCACUAAUAUUGGUUUUGUUCAAGUCUGGACUUGUAAGAACAUUGCUAUUUUCUUCAACAGAUAGCUUUUUCUCAUGUGGCUUUCCAACAUCUAUUGAAUUUGAGUCAUCAUAAACUGGUUUAUUUCUGGACGAUGGUUCUUCCACCAUCUCCGGCCUAACAAUAUCUUGUUCUAAUUUGCCAUUAUCAGUAAUUAUAGUAUCCUUUAGUUCAUUCUUUUUAUUAAUUGAUACAGUAUCACUAAAAAUAGAAUCAGAUUUUACUUGAGACCCUAGUAAACUAGGGUUUACCUCAGAUACCUGGUUUUUAGGAACAGUGGAGUUGGGCAAAAGAUCGUCGUAUUGGGGCUUUGUGUCAGACUCCAGUCGGGGCUUUGAGUGCUCAUUAUCCAGCUGCGCCUUCGACUCCUCAUUCUCCAGCUUGGUCCCUAAAACCUCAGUAUUCUUUUCUGCACCAUUCACCUUCAACUCCUCAUUCUCCAACUUGGUUCCCGAACCGUCAUUAUUCUUAUCUGUGCUGUACUCCUUUAAAUCCUCAUUCUCCAGCUUGGUUCCUGAAUCCUCAAUCUUUUUUUCAGCGCUGUGAGAAUCUUCACCACCAACUACUACUUCCGUCAAUACACUCUCAGUAACAGUGGUGGUGAUGGUCUCCACAACAGUAGUGUGAGUAAUUAGCUCCUCUCCCACAUUUGAAGAAUCAACAACAGCAGGCAACCCCGUAGGUUCAACAUCUUGAUCCAUGGCCGAUGCACUAUUGUCAACUGGAAUGGUAACAUCGUCCUGCUUGUCAUACUUACUGCUGUCAUCAACCACACCCUCUAGAACC
Molecule: long non-coding RNA, 7874 nt
Filed under: Lupinus angustifolius (narrow-leaved blue lupine)
Lineage: Eukaryota; Viridiplantae; Streptophyta; Magnoliopsida; Fabales; Fabaceae
Description: long non-coding RNA (LANG_LNC000501)
Source: RNAcentral